This 175-nucleotide ribosomal RNA is filed under the name uncultured Atopobium sp. RNAcentral's name for it is "partial 16S ribosomal RNA". It matches the Rfam family "Bacterial small subunit ribosomal RNA", at positions 338 to 525 of the family's 1533-position model. The record is from RNAcentral. Lineage: Bacteria; Bacillati; Actinomycetota; Coriobacteriia; Coriobacteriales; Atopobiaceae.
UCUACGGGAGGCAGCAGUGGGGAAUCUUGCACAAUGGGCGGAAGCCUGAUGCAGCGACGCCGCGUGCGGGACGAAGGCCUUCGGGUCGUAAACCGCUUUCAGCAGGGACGAGGCGAAAGUGACGGUACCUGCAGAAGAAGCCCCGGCUAACUACGUGCCAGCAGCCGCGGUAAUA